RNAcentral lists this ribosomal RNA (467 nucleotides) under uncultured bacterium. Its description in RNAcentral is "partial 16S ribosomal RNA". It matches the Rfam family "Bacterial small subunit ribosomal RNA", at positions 29 to 507 of the family's 1533-position model. The record is from RNAcentral.
ACGAACGCUGGCGGCGUGCUUCACACAUGCCAGUCGAACGGAAAGGCCCUGCUUUUGUGGGGUGCUCGAGUGGCGAACGGGUGAGUAACACGUGAGUAACCUGCCCUUGACUUUGGGAUAACUUCAGGAAACUGGGGCUAAUACCGGAUAGGAGCUCCUGCUGCCUGGUGGGGGUUGGAAAGUUUCGGCGGUUGGGGAUGGACUCGCGGCUUAUCAGGUUGUUGGUGGGGUAGUGGCUUACCAAGGCUUUGACGGGUAGCCGGCCUGAGAGGGUGACCGGCCACAUUGGGACUAAGAUACGGCCCAGACUCCUACGGGAGGCAGCAGUGGUGAAUAUUGCACAAUGGGCGGAAGCCUGAUGCAGCAACGCCGCGUGCUGGAUGACGGCCUUCGGGUUGUAAACCGCUUUCGCCUGUGACGAAGCGUGAGUGACGGUAAUGGGUAAAGAAGCACCGGCUAACUACGUG